GCUAGAUUCGCCGACACAGAGUUUGAUCCUGGCUCCCCGGGUUCGUCAACAAAUUUUUUGGACGUGAAAUAACUUGUGUGAAUAUAGCUCCAGGUCGGGGAUCCCUAAGGAAAAACGGUGGCUAAUACCGGAUGUGCCAAAAGGUGAAAGAUUUAUUGCCUGAAGAUGAGCUCGCGUCUGAUUAGCUAGUUGGUGUGGUAAGAGCGCACCAAGGCGACGAUCAGUAGCUGGUCUGAAAGGAUGAUCAGCCACACUGGGACUGAGACACGGCCCAAACUCCUACGGGAGGCAGCAGUGGGGAAUUUUCCGCAAUGGGCAAAAGCCUGACGGAGCAAUACCGCGUGAGGGAGGAAGGCUCUUGGGUUGUAAACCUCUUUUCUCAGGGAAUAAAAAAAUGAAGGUACCUGAGGAAUAAGCAUCGGCUAACUCCGUGCCAGCAGCCGCGGUAAUACGGAGGAUGCAAGCGUUAUCCGGCAUGAUUGGGCGUAAAGCGUCCGCAGGUGGCACUGUAAGUCUGCUGUUAAAGAGCAAGGCUCAACCUUGUAAAGGCAGUGGAAACUACAGACCUAGAGUACGUUCGGGGCAGAGGGAAUUCCUGGUGUAGCGGUGAAAUGCGUAGAGAUCAGGAAAAACACCGGUGGCAAAAGCGCUCUGCUAGGCCGUAACUGACACUGAGGGGACGAAAGCUAGGGGAUCGAAUGGGAUUAGAUACCCCAGUAGUCCUAGCCGUAAACGAUGGAUACAAGGCGU
This 750-nucleotide ribosomal RNA is filed under the name Cylindrospermum sp. Ind14. Its description in RNAcentral is "bacterial SSU rRNA". It matches the Rfam family "Bacterial small subunit ribosomal RNA", at positions 46 to 823 of the family's 1533-position model. Lineage: Bacteria; Bacillati; Cyanobacteriota; Cyanophyceae; Nostocales; Nostocaceae. The record is from RNAcentral.